This 352-nucleotide ribosomal RNA is filed under the name Diphyllostoma fimbriata. RNAcentral describes it as "SSU rRNA". It matches the Rfam family "Eukaryotic small subunit ribosomal RNA", at positions 1172 to 1489 of the family's 1831-position model. Lineage: Eukaryota; Metazoa; Arthropoda; Insecta; Coleoptera; Diphyllostomatidae. The record is from RNAcentral.
AGGAGUGGAGCCUGCGGCUUAAUUUGACUCAACACGGGAAACCUCACCAGGCCCGGACACCGGAAGGAUUGACAGAUUGAGAGCUCUUUCUUGAUUCGGUGGGUGGUGGUGCAUGGCCGUUCUUAGUUGGUGGAGCGAUUUGUCUGGUUAAUUCCGAUAACGAACGAGACUCUAGCCUGUUAACUAGGCGUAUUUCCGACAUCUCAAAGGCCCGCCGUCCCGGCGCGCGUCGUGGUCGCGCGUGGUUUUUACUGUCGGCGUACAAAUUAUUCUUCUUAGAGGGACAGGCGGCUUCUAGCCGCACGAGAUUGAGCAAUAACAGGUCUGUGAUGCCCUUAGAUGUUCUGGGCCG